UACGUAGGGGCUAGCGUUGUCCGGAUUUAUUGGGCGUAAAGAGCGUGUAGGCGGCCAUGUAGGUCCGGUGUGAAAACUCGAGGCUUAACCUCGAGAUGUCAUCGGAAACCAUUUGGCUAGAGCCGGAAGAGGAGAGUGGAAUUCCUGGUGUAGCGGUGAAAUGCGCAGAUAUCAGGAGGAACAUCAGUGGCGAAGGCGGCUUCCUGGCCUAAGACUGACGCUGAGGUACGAAAGCGUGGGGAGCAAACAGG
RNAcentral lists this ribosomal RNA (251 nucleotides) under uncultured bacterium. RNAcentral describes it as "partial 16S ribosomal RNA". It matches the Rfam family "Bacterial small subunit ribosomal RNA", at positions 524 to 776 of the family's 1533-position model. The record is from RNAcentral.